UGCAAUAAGUAGUCCAUAAGAAACAGUUCCAAUACAAAUCCAAGAUUGCUGCUUUUGGAAAAGAUGCCACAACUAGCCAUUGUUCCCGCAGUCCAUGUUGUCUGCCUGACACUAAGUAGUCCAUAAGAAACUGCUCUUACACACCGUACCUACUAGCCAUAGUUGCCGCAGCCCCUGUUUCCUCACACUAAGUAUUCCAUAAGAAACUGCCGUUACACACCGUGCCUAUGCCUAAAUUUCUGCCUUUGGAAAGAUAUGCUGCUG
RNAcentral lists this small RNA (264 nucleotides) under Drosophila willistoni. RNAcentral describes it as "GK27068". The record is from RNAcentral. Lineage: Eukaryota; Metazoa; Arthropoda; Insecta; Diptera; Drosophilidae.